GACGAACCGUCCAAACGUUAUUCGGAAUUACUGGGCUUAAAGGGCGCGUAGGCGGCCGUGCAAGUGGAAGGUGAAAUCCCUCGGCUCAACCGAGGAACUGCCUUUCAAACUGCAUGGCUUGAGUCCGGGAGAGGUGAGUGGAAUUCCCAGUGUAGCGGUGAAAUGCGUAGAUAUUGGGAGGAACACCAGUGGCGAAGGCGGCUCACUGGACCGGAACUGACGCUGAGGCGCGAAAGCGUGGGGAGCAAACGGG
Molecule: ribosomal RNA, 253 nt
Filed under: uncultured bacterium
Lineage: Bacteria
Description: partial 16S ribosomal RNA
Rfam family: Bacterial small subunit ribosomal RNA
Source: RNAcentral